AUGGACGAGCGCCUCGAGCCGCCUCCCUGUGGACAUGGACGACGGCCGCGGCGACCCCUACCGGACGCUGCUCCGGGAGGCCACGGCGGCGCUGCUCAACGCCUACUACAACGCGCCGGGGUCGCCUUCCUGUACCCCACCACCGCCAGCGUCCUUGACCACCUCAACGGCGCGCUCCUCAGCUCCGCCCAGCGCGUGCUCAUCGAGGGCGCCCGCUUCCGCCGCGCCAACACCGGCGGUGGGGGGCCUGCCGGCCGGACCAAGCUGCCGUGA
Molecule: ribosomal RNA, 273 nt
Filed under: Triticum aestivum (bread wheat)
Lineage: Eukaryota; Viridiplantae; Streptophyta; Magnoliopsida; Poales; Poaceae
Description: partial small subunit ribosomal RNA
Source: RNAcentral